AUUGAACGCUGGCGGAAUGCUUUACACAUGCAAGUCGAACGAUGAACCUUAGCUUGCUUAGGGGAUUAGUGGCGAACGGGUGAGUAAUAUAUCGGAACGUGCCUUGUAAUGGGGGAUAACUAGUCGAAAGAUUAGCUAAUACCGCAUACGCCCUGAGGGGGAAAGUAGGGGAUCUUCGGACCUUACGUUAUAAGAGCGGCCGAUAUCUGAUUAGCUAGUUGGUGGGGUAAUGGCCUACCAAGGCGACGAUCAGUAGCUGGUCUGAGAGGACGACCAGCCACACUGGAACUGAGACACGGUCCAGACUCCUACGGGAGGCAGCAGUGGGGAAUUUUGGACAAUGGGUGCAAGCCUGAUCCAGCCAUUCCGCGUGAGUGAAGAAGGCCUUCGGGUUGUAAAGCUCUUUCGCAAGGGAAGAAAACUUACCAUCGAAUAAAUGGUGAGGCUGACGGUACCUUGAUAAGAAGCACCGGCUAACUACGUG
Molecule: ribosomal RNA, 484 nt
Filed under: uncultured bacterium
Lineage: Bacteria
Description: partial 16S ribosomal RNA
Rfam family: Bacterial small subunit ribosomal RNA
Source: RNAcentral